This 363-nucleotide unclassified non-coding RNA is filed under the name Hevea brasiliensis (rubber tree). Lineage: Eukaryota; Viridiplantae; Streptophyta; Magnoliopsida; Malpighiales; Euphorbiaceae. The record is from RNAcentral.
AAUUAGUUUACCAUUUUAAUAACAUCAUUGAGUUGCAUCCAUUCUCAAUGAUUUUAUAGUUAAUCUCAUCCCACUCUGUAAUUUCUUCUUAAAAGCAUUGAUUUGCCAAAGCAAAUGUGUCAGUGGCUCGUUCUCCAGUCAUUGCAAGUUGGAUCAAACCAUUGGAAGAAAAAAGAGUCAUUUCCCCGAAUCAAUUGCCCAUUAAUAUCAACCAUUAAUAAACUUAUAAAGUGUAGUUCUUAAUCAAAAUAGUCAAAAUAAAAAUCAUUGUAAUUACCUCCGAAGCACCAAAUAAUACCAAUUUAUUGACAAUUGGGUCAAUUUGAGAUAUCAAUCAAACAUGAGGGUUUAACCGGUAAUUAU